Molecule: ribosomal RNA, 277 nt
Filed under: uncultured bacterium
Lineage: Bacteria
Description: partial 16S ribosomal RNA
Rfam family: Bacterial small subunit ribosomal RNA
Source: RNAcentral
GACGAACGCUGGCGGCGUGCCUAACACAUGCAAGUCGAGCGAUCGGCCCAGGAGGGGCAACCCACCUGGGUACGGAGCGGCGAACGGGUUAGUAACACGUGGGCAACCUGCCCCAGGCUCUGGGAUAACCCCGGGAAACCGGGGCUAAUACCGGAUACUCUCCCCGGGCCGCAUGGUCCGGGGAGGAAAGCUCCGGCGGCCUGGGAUGGGCCCGCGGCCUAUCAGCUCGUUGGUGGGGUAACGGCCCACCAAGGCGACGACGGGUAGCUGGCGUGAG